CGCUCCUUGGAAAGGUUUCUAAUGUAUAAGGAGUUCUGCCUGCCCGGUGACAGAGUUAAACGGCCGCGGUAUUUUGACCGUGCAAAGGUAGCAUAAUCAUUUGUCUCUUAAAUGGAGGCUGGUAUGAAUGGCAAGACGGAAAUUUGACUGUCUCUCUUUUAGAGCUUUGAAAUUGAUUUUUUUGUGAAGAAGCGGAAAUUAGUUCGUAGGACGAGAAGACCCUAUCGAGCUUAAGUAAAGAAAUUUAGAUCCUUAAGUGUGUUUUUUGUGUUAAUUUAGUUUUUAAAAUGUUAGUUUUACUAGAGAAAUAUUGGAUUAUAAGUGUUUUACUUAGAUUGGGGCAAUCGCGGAGAAUAUUAAACCUCCGUUAUAAAUAUAUGUUAGAAGUGACUACUUUAGAGUGACUUAAUAUAGUUGUAUUGAAGUGAUCCAUUUGAAAGAGUGAGCAAAGGAAAAAGUUACCGUAGGGAUAACAGCGUAAUCCUUUUGGAGAGUUCAUAUUGAUAAAAGGGUUUGCGACCUCGAUGUUGGAUCGGGACUUCCAGGAGAUGCAGCAGUUUCCAAGGGUUGGUCUGUUCGACCAUUAAAGUCCU
RNAcentral lists this ribosomal RNA (593 nucleotides) under Ctenodiscus crispatus. Its description in RNAcentral is "partial 16S ribosomal RNA". It matches the Rfam family "Bacterial large subunit ribosomal RNA", at positions 1816 to 2597 of the family's 2925-position model. Lineage: Eukaryota; Metazoa; Echinodermata; Asteroidea; Paxillosida; Ctenodiscidae. The record is from RNAcentral.